GGCGGAGUAGCUCAGUUGGUUAGAGCAGAGGAAUCAUAAUCCUUGUGUCGGGGGUUCAAAUCCCUCCUCCGCUACCA
Molecule: transfer RNA, 77 nt
Filed under: Paracoccus sp. (in: a-proteobacteria)
Lineage: Bacteria; Pseudomonadati; Pseudomonadota; Alphaproteobacteria; Rhodobacterales; Paracoccaceae
Also listed under: 69 other names
Description: tRNA-Met
Rfam family: tRNA
About the family: Transfer RNA (tRNA) molecules are approximately 80 nucleotides in length. Their secondary structure includes four short double-helical elements and three loops (D, anti-codon, and T loops). Further hydrogen bonds mediate the characteristic L-shaped molecular structure. tRNAs have two regions of fundamental functional importance: the anti-codon, which is responsible for specific mRNA codon recognition, and the 3' end, to which the tRNAs corresponding amino acid is attached (by aminoacyl-tRNA synthetases). tRNAs cope with the degeneracy of the genetic code in two manners: having more than one tRNA (with a specific anti-codon) for a particular amino acid; and 'wobble' base-pairing, i.e. permitting non-standard base-pairing at the 3rd anti-codon position.
Source: RNAcentral